GGUUGGGCUCAGCCUUGGACCCUGGGUCAGCUGACUACCCGCCGCUGGCCUCCUUUCAAAAGCAUCCCCGAGAGCCUGCGGCUGCCCCUGAAAAGCCAGGCCAGCCCAGCGGGGACUCCCUGUUGCUCCCAAUCCCUCUGUCCCGUCUCUCAGCGUAUCCACCCCAGGGGUACUUAGUAUGGAAAGGGUGCCUCCAAUCCGUAGGGUGUUCUGAUGGAGUUAACUGAUCUUUGCAUAAAAUCUGCUGAGUCAUACACACACGUCCUCUGUCACAAUAGCUUAGGUGAUUUUUCUUGAUGCAAAGCUCUGAUUCCCACAGGAAUAGAAAAACAGAGAGAGAGAGGAAAAACAAAAAACAAAAAAACAAAAAACACAUCCCUCAAAGACUCCAGAAAGACAAAAACAAAAAUUAGCACUGCUUAGAAAGAAUUCAUAAAUCAUUCUCACGUGGAAACCAAUCCCCUAUCUGAAAAGUCUCUCCAAUGGACAGAAAACCCAAGUGGGUUGACACACGUAUUAGAAUGGAUGGAAUGGUUCAUUUUCAACACGUUUUUGGAUUUCUUUUUUCAUUUUAAAUUUUCAGUUGAGAACAUCUUUUAUGACAGAAAUCCUAUGCAGCCCAUGGAUGGCGUUUGACAAGAACAAGGAGCUCAGUGAUCAGGGAGAUUCAGGGUUACCAUGGCCUUGCUCACCAUCCUGUUGUAAAGACAUCGUGACAUCGCAAAAACCUCCUCAUCCCAUUGUAAAGACAUCAAGAUAUUGCAAGAACAUCACCAUCUCAUUGUAAAGACAUCAUGACAUUGCAAGAACCUCAUCAUCCCAUUGUAAAGACAUCAUGACAUUGCAAGAACCUUUAUGGUCAAACCCAUGAACCCAGGUUUACAAGUGUGAGCUGAAUCAUUUCUACAUGCUUUGGAACUUGAUUCUGCCAUCACCUAGUCUGUGUCUCUGUCCCCAAAAAGGAAAAAGGAUUCUUGUGAGAAUGAUUUUUCAGAAUAAUGGACGUGAAAAGAGGUGGACAAUUAAGCAAUUUUCCAAUGUAGAUAAAACCACUGGACCAUUGACAGCCCUAAAGCUCUGAUUUUUCCUCAUGACUAAGUUUCUUUUCAUGUGGGGGCUUUCGACAUCUGAAUUUUCCAGAUGAUUGCAGAACCAUCUUCACUACACAGAAGUAGACAUUUUGGCAUUAUGAAAAAAUAAAGGCUGUCCACAGGAAUGCAAACAAAAAAGUCAAGAAGUAGGUCACUCAAGGAGCGAAUUUGGUUCUUGUGAUGGCAAACAUCUGGUUAUGUGGGGAAACCCGGGUGUUUGAAUCCUUAGUUUUUCAUUCUGUUGUCUGGUGUUGUGUAGACAGACAACAAAUGCUCAGGUGUUGUAGGUAAUGGAAUUUAACUUUCUUGUGCAUUAAUCGAUUGCCGGUGAUAUUCUGCUGCUAAAAAUCUCUUUGUGGUGCAAAGAGAACUAAAUAAUACAGAGCAAAUGCUAUUGGAUUUUGUGAUUGACUUUCAGCAAACAUGUGACCAGAAGAGGUUUGGGAGGCUGGCCCCUGUGUACUGAGAGGUGCUCAUAGCACAGAGCCACUUCAGAGCAAAAGUUCUGGAGGCCUGCUUCCUGGUGCCUGCCUGGCCAAGAACCCUGUUAUUUAGCCAUUUUCCAUCUUUUAUGAUUGUAUAAUUGCUCCUCUGCUCUUCAUCCACUCUUAAUCACUCACAAAGUCUACAGGGUAGAAACAUUCAAGGGAAAUAAUCAUAUGUUAAUGUUUUAUUCUUCAAAUAGGAAGUUUCGAUUUUAAGGAUUUAUUUUACCUCUUUACACAUAAAAAUAGUUUCAAUUACAGGCAGCCCGGUAUCUAAGGGUUCCAUGUCCACAGAUACAGAGGGAAGGCCACUGAAAGGCACUUUAGCAUCCUUGGAUUUGGGUACCCCAGGGGGUCCUGGACCCAAUCCCCCAAGUUAUUUCCUGGUAAAUUCCACAGUGUCAGGAGAAGUAAAAGCUGUUUUU
This 2001-nucleotide long non-coding RNA is filed under the name Sus scrofa (pig). RNAcentral describes it as "lncRNA (ENSSSCG00035080616.1)". The record is from RNAcentral. Lineage: Eukaryota; Metazoa; Chordata; Mammalia; Artiodactyla; Suidae.